RNAcentral lists this long non-coding RNA (582 nucleotides) under Physcomitrium patens. RNAcentral describes it as "long non-coding RNA (PPAT_LNC003345)". Lineage: Eukaryota; Viridiplantae; Streptophyta; Bryopsida; Funariales; Funariaceae. The record is from RNAcentral.
UCGUUUGCACAAAUAGCAUAUGUAAGGUAUCAGGCUCAAUGAACUAGAGGAUUCAGAUUCUCCUGAAAGAUUUGUGAAAACCAUUAUGCAUGACAUGGUCUACGUGAUAAACAUGAGAGGAGAUCACGGAAACUUACAAGUCGAACUGAGGAUAACUUCCAGUCUCAUCUGAAAUCAACAAUCGAGCACCCAUGACAGACAAAUGAGUCACGUAGAGAAGCCAUAAGCAAGCAUGACAUCUAUACUAAAGACAAUCUCAAGGUGAUGGGAGUUAGGGUUGCAGAUGAUCGAUGGACUCUGGCAACGAAUCGAGAGAAAUCUUGUACCUGCCACCGGGAUAAAAGCAUAUUGCUCGGGCUGUGAGUUAUUCCAGACCACAAGAGGGUUGUACACCCUCAGAAGCGCUUCACUUGUGUUGAAAUUCGAAGCAAGGCCGCUCACAUUUCCAGCAGUACAAGCCGCCACCACAUAAGUUAGGAAAAGGCCGUAACCAAGGCUCACUCUCGGGUCUCCACAGAAGCACUGAACAGGAAUUUUCAUGCUAGUUCCGGUUUCAAUGAAAUUGAGGUUAGGUAUUCCAUU